RNAcentral lists this long non-coding RNA (3755 nucleotides) under Taeniopygia guttata (zebra finch). Its description in RNAcentral is "lncRNA (ENSTGUG00000026410.1)". The record is from RNAcentral. Lineage: Eukaryota; Metazoa; Chordata; Aves; Passeriformes; Estrildidae.
CCGGCAGGGCUGAGUCACACGGACCGGCUAGUGCCGCUCUUUGCAGAAGUUGUCCCUUGGACUUGCUAUUAGCCGCGAAAGUAUCGGUAGUUGUUUUGGCACCCUCCAGUCUUUGCUGUUGCAUCUUAGUUCUUUACAAUUCUUUAUUUCAAUUUAUUUAUUCACAUGAUGGUGACAUUUAGAUCCUUUCUACCACACCUUGUUUCCAAGCCUAAUCUAAACACAGCGCUCAGGGCAAGCAAAGUCGAAAGGAUUUGACAUAGGUUUUGUAAAUAAUGUUCUCUUCUUCCUGAACAAUUUUCACAGAGGCUAAAUUCUACUGAAAUGAUUUUUGCAGCAUUCAAGCGCUGUGGGGAUUCACCCCCAUGGUCACCGAUCCUCUGGUGAGUACUGCCCUGGAGCUCAGGCUGAGCCCCUCUGCUGCUGGUGUGUAAGUCUUUGCAAAUAAAUCCUCUCCCGAGGGACAGAAACGUUGUGUUCCAGCAGCCCAGCUGUGGGGUGGGCAAUGGUUGGAACAACUUUGUUAAAUAAGUGACGAGUGUGAAGCCGUCAGGGCCGUGUGUGGCUUGUGGGUGCAGCCGUGGCAGCUGAGUGUCCCCAGCUGGGGUGCUGCUCUGCCAGGCCCCCGAUUCCACCAGUGCACAUUCUUCUCAUGAACCUGCAAACCUGUGGGCUGCAGGCUGCUCUGGAGCUGCUGUGCAUGAGCCUGGGGUGCAGCAGGUAUUUUAUCUCCUGUCACAGCCCUGGGCUGCUCUGGAGCUGCUGUGCAGGCCAGCCUGGGGUGCAGCAGGUAUUUUAUCUCCUGUCACAGCCCUGGGCUGGGCUUUGGUCCCCUCUGUUCCAGGCUGUGCCCAGGUAACCCUUAACCUUGUGACACUCUGGGCCAUGGUUUCCCAGAGCAGCACUGCAGCUCCUGGAAACGCUGAGGAACAUCUCUGAAUAGCGUCAGCCUCUUCUUCUGGCAGUUGUCUCUUAGCCCAUCCUUUGGAAACCAAAUAACUGAGCUUCCUUGGGAGCUUUUAAGCCAUUUCUCCUCUCAUUCUUGCUGUUCCUUUCACUGUCCAUCUGAUCCCCUCUCCUAGAAGUACUCUGGGGGCAGAGCUACCACACCACCCAGCUUGGUCUGAGCCAGUCAAAGGCAAAGUUCCCCUCAAUACCAGCUGUAAGAAUUGCUGAAAGGCCACAGUGGCACUGCAGAAAUAUUUUAUUUUGUUCAUCUGUGCUCAGGUUUUGGGUAUGAUGUGGGCUUUCUCACUUUCAUCACUUCUGUAGCAAACCCACAUCUGAAUUAUUCACAUUACACUUACUCCCAACAUGCCAGUAGCCAAUUUUAUAAAGACCAGACUGUAACGUUGGUUUAAAUCCUACCUAUUGAAUCCCAACUCACUGCUGGAUUGUGGGGUGUGUUGUUUUCUACAGUGACAGAAUAAAAUUGCUCUGCAUUUUAAAAUUCUACACUGUGCUACUGAUUGCUGCUGUUUCUGAAGAAGGAAAUGUACCACGUUCAAAGUAACGAACAAUAUUUAUGCUGUUGAGUUUAAAUAUGGAAUAUAAUUUCUCAAGCACCAGUGCCCUACUACAUGUAUUAAUUUAAUCUCUCAUGUUACCAGCCAGCCCUAGGUAAUUAGUUAGUCUGCAGUGCAGGGAGUCUGUGGGAAGUAAGUGAAAGAAUCAAGUCUGGUUUUCUUAGAAAUGAAUUCUGGUGCAUGGCUACAGACCAUUGAGGGAUCUGUGGGUUGGAAAGUUUGAAAAUCCCUGGCUGAGGGUUUAGACACAGAAGUUAAAUAAAUCAUGAGAGGAUGCAGCACAUAAUAUUUGAAUUAUGAAGCGUGCAUUGCAUUGGGUGGUUGUGCUUCAUGAAUGGUAGUGGUUUAGAUUUUAAGGAAAAAAAAUUAAUGUUUUCCUGAAACAAGCUCUGGUUGGGCAACAUGAAGGCAUGACAAUGCAGCAGAGUCUAGGGAAAAUAUAAUCAUCAGAGUUGGCUUAUUAAUUUGAUUUUCAAAAUGAUCAAACAUAUUUUAAAGACAAUUUCAGAAUGAUUUGGUGCUAUCUUAAAAAUGCCAAAAUAAAAAUCAUCUGAAAAGCAUAAAUUUGGUUACUAAGCAGUUCACCAUACAAUAUUUACAUGUAUAAACAGCUUUUACUGUGCUGAGUAACCCUGCUUGUACAGUAAAACUGCUCGUACAGGCUGAGGUUAUUUCUCUGCGUUGUUAGAGAGCGAGUUGUGAGUUGCUGCUGUUGGAGAUCCUCUGUGCAAGUAAAGCAGGGGCUUUGGUGGGUUUUUUAAUGUAUUGUACUCGGUAGGCAAAGAUGAAACAAGGGUAGUGUACAUCAGUAACAAGAGCAAUACCUGAAGUUUGAGUACCCUGAAAGUUUGUCAGUGCCUGAAGAUAGCAAGAUUAAUUGCUACAAAAAGAAGUAAAAACUUGCUGGUGUUCCUGUUCCUGGAGGGACCUUGUAACCAGCUCUUCUGCCGAGGUGCACAGCCACGCUCAGAGCCGUGGGUCCGUGGCAGCCAAGGGAUGUGUCCCCCUGAGACCUGGAGUCCCACUGAGCUCCUUUGGAGAGGCUUUGCAGGAGGAUUCUGCUCUCCCGAGGAGCAGGCAGUGCUGGAGGGGUGGCUGAGCUUUGAGGUAUUGUGUUUCUGCACAGUUUUGCUGCUGCAUAGGAGGAGCAGGCUCUGCCAGUGAAGCUGGGCUGCAGUCUGGGAAAUGCAGGGCUCUGGGUAAAACACACACAGAACCUGCUCAGAGUUAGGGGAGAAUGAGCCUGGCUGAAAUCUGGAGCUCUCGGGCAGAAAGAGCUGCUUGCCUCCAGAGUUUCUCUGCUUCUGUUAGUGACUACACAUUGAAAUAAGGUUUAUUAAUACGUGGGAAGUUCUUGUGACUGUGAAAGAGACUUCUGAGAUCAUGGUGCUCUGCCAGGUACCAGCUAGGUAGGGUGAUAAUUGAAUUUUAAAGCUACAAAUCAUACUAAAUGUUGUAUUUUCAUUUCUCAGCACUGCUGCUGAGAAAAUCUCAAGGGAGGUCACGGGCUAAGGAUACUGCACAUCAUUUCAUGCCUAAGAUGGCAAUGUUCCCUGGAUAUAACAGACAUACCUUACCACUCACUUCAGACUUAGCUGGCUCACAACACAAUAUAAAACAGUUAAACUGAGAAGAUUCAACCAUUUGGGCAAGAGUUGCUGUUCUGUCACUCCCUUGCUGUCAGUGUGUGACAUUAAUAUUAAUAGUAAACCUAAGGGUAAAGGGAGAAUAAUUACCAAGGGAAACUAAGAAGAUAAAAUAAUCUCAGAGUUCAAAGAACAGAAUUGCAUCAAAUGUUCUUUGGCAUUGAACAAAUCUGGAGAAUUUUUCCAGUGUUUACUCAUUUUGAAUAUAUAAAAUUAAGCAAGAUUUUGGGGCCUAAAUGAGUUUUUAGUGCAGUGGUGUACAGAGAAGUCUUUAUUUUGGAUUUGGCAGCAGGAUGAUUUAGGUUUCUUUGGAGGGGUUGAGGAAGGAGAAGAUGACCAAAAUAACCUGGCAUCCAACAGCAUUUAAAUCAAAUAUUUAACAUAUCUGCACCUUGAGAACUUUUCCAUAAUUCCGUAUGUGAAUCCAUAUCCACAACAAGACUGCCUGAUGUGUGUUUGUCCUCAUCCCGUGGCGGUGCCAGUGCUGAUUCCAGGAUCAGGGUGUGCUCACAGGGAGUCAAACAGGGAGUCAAACAGGGAAUCACACAGGGAAUCACACAGGGAGUCAAACAGGGAAUCAAAC